CCUACGGGAGGCAGCAGUGAGGAAUAUUGGUCAAUGGGCGCGAGCCUGAACCAGCAAAGUCGCGUGAAGGAUGACUGCCCUACGGGUUGUCAACUUCUUUUAUAAAGGAAUAAAGUGAGGCACGUGUGCCUUUUUGUAUGUAUUUUAUGAAUACGGAUAGGCUAACUCCGUGCCAGCAGCCGCGGUAAUACGGAGGAUCCGAGCGUUAUCCGGAUUUAUUGGGUUUAAAGGGAGCGUAGAUGGGUUGUUAAGUCAGUUGUGAAAGUUUGCGGCUCAACCGUAAAAUUGCAAUUGAUACUGGCAGCCUUGAGUACAGUUGAGGUAGGCGGAAUUCGUGGUGUAGCGGUGAAAUGCUUAGAUAUCUCGAAGAACUCCGAUGGCGAAGGCAGCCUACUAAACUGCCACUGACAUUGAUGCUCGAAAGUGUGGGUAUCAAACAGGAUGAGAUACCCGUGUAGUC
This 460-nucleotide ribosomal RNA is filed under the name uncultured bacterium. RNAcentral's name for it is "partial 16S ribosomal RNA". It matches the Rfam family "Bacterial small subunit ribosomal RNA", at positions 338 to 795 of the family's 1533-position model. The record is from RNAcentral.